AUUUAUCAACAAAUAUAUUGUGUAAAGGAAAUGUAGGAUAUGGAAAUUCAAACUCUUGUGGUCCAUGGUGCUGAUCUCCAGCUUUUCAUUGUGACUGUAUAAUCAAAAUUUCCCAGUAAAUUUCAUAUUGUUAUUGUAGCUGACUUUGCGUUACUGAUUUUGGCUUCUUUCCUUUUUGUUUGUUAAUGGUAUACAUACUUUUGUUUUGUGAAUUGCGAGAGAG
This 223-nucleotide unclassified non-coding RNA is filed under the name Hevea brasiliensis (rubber tree). The record is from RNAcentral. Lineage: Eukaryota; Viridiplantae; Streptophyta; Magnoliopsida; Malpighiales; Euphorbiaceae.